CAAUUUCGUAGAUAAACGUAAGGAUUAGGAUUGCAAAGAGAAGCAUGAAUGAAAGAAAAAAAAUUUUAUGUGUAUUCAAAUGGACCAUGUGAAGAGAACCUACGUUUAAGUAAAUGUUUAUAUUUGCCGCAUAGAAAAAACGUCAAUUUAUGGCUUUAGUAAGCUACAAAACUAAAGAGUAAAUUUUGUUCAAAUAGACCGAGAGCUUCGACUUUGCAACUCCAACCAUGCUUUAUAACUAC
This is a non-coding RNA of Schizosaccharomyces pombe (fission yeast), 242 nucleotides long. Lineage: Eukaryota; Fungi; Ascomycota; Schizosaccharomycetes; Schizosaccharomycetales; Schizosaccharomycetaceae. The record is from the annotation of a GenBank genome assembly.